GACGAACGCUGGCGGCGUGCUUAACACAUGCAAGUCGAACGGAAAGGCCCUGCUUUUGUGGGGUGCUCGAGUGGCGAACGGAUGAGUAACACGUGAGUAACCUGCCCUUGACUUUGGGAUAACUUCAGGAAACUGGGGCUAAUACCGGAUAGGAGCUCCUGCUGCAUGGUGGGGGUUGGAAAGUUUCGGCGGUUGGGGAUGGACUCGCGGCUUAUCAGCUUGUUGGUGGGGUAGUGGCUUACCAAGGCUUUGACGGGUAGCCGGCCUGAGAGGGUGACCGGCCACAUUGGGACUGAGAUACGGCCCAGACUCCUACGGGAGGCAGCAGUGGGGAAUAUUGCACAAUGGGCGGAAGCCUGAUGCAGCAACGCCGCGUGCGGGAUGACGGCCUUCGGGUUGUAAACCGCUUUCGCCUGUGACGAAGCGUGAGUGACGGUAAUGGGUAAAGAAGCACCGGCUAACUACGUGCUAGCAGCCGCGGUGAUACGUAGGGUGCGAGCGUUGUCCGGAUUUAUUGGGCGUAAAGGGCUCGUAGGUGGUUGAUCGCGUCGGAAGUGUAAUCUUGGGGCUUAACCCUGAGCGUGCUUUCGAUACGGGUUGACUUGAGGAAGGUAGGGGAGAAUGGAAUUCCUGGUGGAGCGGUGGAAUGCGCAGAUAUCAGGAGGAACACCAGUGGCGAAGGCGGUUCUCUGGGCCUUUCCUGACGCUGAGGAGCGAAAGCGUGGGGAGCGAACAGGCUUAGAUACCCUGGUAGUCCACGCUGUAAACGGUGGGUACUAGGUGUGGGGUCCAUUCCACGGGUUCCGUGCCGUAGCUAACGCUUUAAGUACCCCGCCUGGGGAGUACGGCCGCAAGGCUAAAACUCAAAGGAAUUGACGGGGCCCCGCACAAGCGGCGGAGCAUGCGGAUUAAUUCGAUGCAACGCGUAGAACCUUACCUGGGUUUGACAUGGAUCGGGAGUGCUCAGAGAUGGGUGUGCCUCUUUUGGGGUCGGUUCACAGGUGGUGCAUGGCUGUAGUCAGCUCGUGUCGUGAGAUGUUGGGUUAAGUCCCGCAACGAGCGCAACCCUUGUUCACUGUUGCCAGCACGUUAUGGUGGGGACUCAGUGGAGACCGCCGGGGUCAACUCGGAGGAAGGUGGGGAUGACGUCAAGUCAUCAUGCCCCUUAUGUCCAGGGCUUCACGCAUGCUACAAUGGCUGGUACAGAGAGUGGCGAGCCUGUGAGGGUGAGCGAAUCUCGGAAAGCCGGUCUCAGUUCGGAUUGGGGUCUGCAACUCGACCUCAUGAAGUCGGAGUCGCUAGUAAUCGCAGAUCAGCAACGCUGCGGUGAAUACGUUCCCGGG
RNAcentral lists this ribosomal RNA (1343 nucleotides) under uncultured bacterium. Its description in RNAcentral is "16S ribosomal RNA". It matches the Rfam family "Bacterial small subunit ribosomal RNA", at positions 28 to 1378 of the family's 1533-position model. The record is from RNAcentral.